This 76-nucleotide transfer RNA is filed under the name Caudoviricetes sp. RNAcentral describes it as "tRNA-Trp". Lineage: Duplodnaviria; Heunggongvirae; Uroviricota; Caudoviricetes. The record is from RNAcentral.
GCGAGUGUAGGCUAAUUGGUAGACUGGGAAUCUCCAAAAUUCUCCGAUCUUCGUUCGAAUCGAAGCGCUCGUGCCA